RNAcentral lists this long non-coding RNA (1089 nucleotides) under Vulpes vulpes (red fox). RNAcentral describes it as "lncRNA (ENSVVUG00000000642.1)". The record is from RNAcentral. Lineage: Eukaryota; Metazoa; Chordata; Mammalia; Carnivora; Canidae.
CUGGAGGUGGGCUGGGCUGCUCAGUGGGCCCACCCUGCUGGCUCUGGGCUUCGGAGGCCUUAUGGAAGGAGCAAGCUGCUCCCGAGGCCUCAGAGCCCAGCAGCUAGCUACAGGGUUUUUAGCAUCCCGGAACCUGUGCUCAAGACAGCAGCUGCCCAGGGAAGAGCCUCUCCCAGGGAAAGCUGCAUUCUCCUUGAGACUCCCCCGAUCCCGGGAGCCGCCAGAAGAACCUUUGCCUAGAUGAAGAAGCUGGAUUCACAUACACAGCAGUGGCUGACCAAGAUGCCAUCACUAGGAAGUAUGAAAACAAAGUUUGAAGCCAGGCGCCUGGCUAUAUCACCACUUCCCAUCCAGCAGCAGGAUAUGGCUCCAGGUCCCAAGUCCCAGGUGGAUUACAUCUCUGCUCGAAUGGGAAGGGAACUCCAGAUCCUCAAGUCCGGGUUGCCUCCCAAGAUGCUGCCCACCAAGGGGAGAAGGCCCCCUGGCCCGGGCCUGACUGCUACAACCAGAAAUAUCCACCAGAUGGCACUCUUUUGCCACUUCCCGUACUCCCAAGUGUUGCCAGAGGUGUCGCCAGAGCUGUCGUCCCUUUCGGCCGAGGUGGAAAACGCGGAGCCGGUGUACCCCAGGCUUUCCCCCUCACUCCCAUACGCAGCAGGACGGUGGGCGUGCCCUUGGUCCCCAAAGACUGCAAUCUCGAGCUUCUCCGAAGUCGGGCUCAUCCCUUCGGGCCUCCAGGCUUCUGUUGGAGGAGCGGACUCCCCUUGGGCGGGGGGGGGCAGUUCUGCUCAGUCCUCAAAUCCACCCUCAUUCACCAGUGAGCCAAAAGUUGGGCUUCACCCGGACUCCAUCGGUUCAGAACAGCGCAGCUCAAGGACCUUUACUAGGAGCCUUCCUAGUAAUAAGCAGAUUCCUCACUACCGCGGACGAGGGAGUCAGGGUCAUUUGUACACACGUGGCGCCUACACACCUGUACACACAGCCCCCCAACCUCGAUGUACUCCCGACAUCCCGCCCUGGACGCCCAGCCAGGGGUCAGCCAAAAGCGGAGAGAAGGGCCAGACCCUGGGACCUAGAACCCUCGGCUAG